UAAACUCUCGCCGGGAACUACAAAUAUCCAUUUAAAACUCAAAGAUCUUGGCGGUGCCUUAAACACUCAGGGAAACCUGUCCCUUAAUUCGAUAAUCCACGAGUGUGUGAACCCCCCUCGAAUCUCAGCCUGUGUACUGCCGUCAUAAGUAUGCCUCCAAGAGUGAGCAUGCAAGAAUAAUUAAUACUUAAGUCAGGUCAAAGUGCAGCCCAUGGGGGGUCGGAGAUGGGUUACACUCCUAAAACGGACACCAAAAUUCUCCACUUGAAAAAAGAAAGAAAAGUUGGACUUGAAAGUAAUAAUUUCAACUAAAAUAUUAUGAAAAGGAGCCUAAGACAUGUACAUAUCGCCCGUCACUCUCACCGAAAGGCG
RNAcentral lists this ribosomal RNA (372 nucleotides) under Tubificoides wasselli. RNAcentral describes it as "partial 12S ribosomal RNA". It matches the Rfam family "Bacterial small subunit ribosomal RNA", at positions 875 to 1415 of the family's 1533-position model. Lineage: Eukaryota; Metazoa; Annelida; Clitellata; Tubificida; Naididae. The record is from RNAcentral.